RNAcentral lists this transfer RNA (73 nucleotides) under Marmota monax (woodchuck). RNAcentral describes it as "tRNA.Ala". It matches the Rfam family "tRNA". Rfam says of the family: Transfer RNA (tRNA) molecules are approximately 80 nucleotides in length. Lineage: Eukaryota; Metazoa; Chordata; Mammalia; Rodentia; Sciuridae. The record is from RNAcentral.
GUGGGGUUGUGGCUCAGUGGUAGAGCGCUCGCCUAGCACGUGUGAAGCCCUGGGUUCGAGUCUCAGCACCACA